GAUCAUGGCUCAGAUUGAACGCUGGCGGCAGGCCUAACACAUGCAAGUCGAACGGUAACAGAAAGCAGCUUGCUGCUUUGCUGACGAGUGGCGGACGGGUGAGUAAUGUCUGGGAAACUGCCUGAUGGAGGGGGAUAACUACUGGAAACGGUAGCUAAUACCGCAUAAUGUCGCAAGACCAAAGAGGGGGGACCUUCGGGCCGUCUUGCCAUCGGAUGUGCCCAGAUGGGAUUAG
RNAcentral lists this ribosomal RNA (235 nucleotides) under uncultured bacterium. RNAcentral describes it as "partial 16S ribosomal RNA". It matches the Rfam family "Bacterial small subunit ribosomal RNA", at positions 15 to 244 of the family's 1533-position model. The record is from RNAcentral.